This 571-nucleotide ribosomal RNA is filed under the name uncultured bacterium. RNAcentral's name for it is "partial 16S ribosomal RNA". It matches the Rfam family "Bacterial small subunit ribosomal RNA", at positions 355 to 1375 of the family's 1533-position model. The record is from RNAcentral.
UGGGGAAUAUUGCACAAUGGGCGCAAGCCUGAUGCAGCGACGCCGCGUGAGGGAUGACGGCCUUCGGGUUGUAAACCUCUUUCAAUAGGGACGAAGCGCAAGUGACGGUACCUAUAGAAGAAGGACCGGCCAACUACGUGCCAGCAGCCGCGGUAAUACGUAGGGUCCGAGCGUUGUCCGGAAUUACUGGGCGUAAAGAGCUCGUAGGUGGUUUGUCGCGUUGUUCGUGAAAACUCACAGCUUAACUGUGGGCGUGCGGGCGAUACGGGCAGACUAGAGUACUGCAGGGGAGACUGGAAUUCCUGGUGUAGCGGUGGAAUGCGCAGAUAUCAGGAGGAACACCGGUGGCGAAGGCGGGUCUCUGGGCAGUAACUGACGCUGAGGAGCGAAAAGCGUGGGGAGCGAACAGGAUUAGAUACCCUGGUAGUCCACGCCGUAAAACGGUGGGUACUAGGUGUGGGUUUCCUUCCUUGGGAUCCGUGCCGUAGCUAACGCAUUAAGUACCCCGCCUGGGGAGUACGGCCGCAAGGCUAAAAACUCAAAUGAAUUGACGGGGUCAUAGCUGUUUCCU